CCUACGGGGGGCAGCAGUGAGGAAUAUUGGUCAAUGGACGCAAGUCUGAACCAGCCAUGCCGCGUGCAGGAAGACGGCUCUAUGAGUUGUAAACUGCUUUUGUACGGGGGUAAACGCAGAUACGCGUAUCUGUCUGAAAGUAUCGUACGAAUAAGGAUCGGCUAACUCCGUGCCCGCCGCCGCGGUAAUAAGGAGGAUUCAAGCGUUCUCCGGAUUUAUUGGGGUUAAAGGGGGCGUAGGCGGUCGGAUAAGUUAGAGGUGAAAUCCCGGGGCUCAACGUCGGAAUUGCCUUUGAUACUGUGCGGCUAGAGAGUAGGUGAGGUAGGCGGAAUGCAUGGUGUAGCGGUGAAAUGCUUAGAGAUCAUACAGAACACCGAUUGCGAAGGCAGCUUACCAAGCUACUUCUGACGUUGAGGCACGAAAGCGUGGGGAGCAAACAGGAUUAGAUACCCCGGUAGUC
This 460-nucleotide ribosomal RNA is filed under the name uncultured bacterium. RNAcentral's name for it is "partial 16S ribosomal RNA". It matches the Rfam family "Bacterial small subunit ribosomal RNA", at positions 338 to 795 of the family's 1533-position model. The record is from RNAcentral.